Molecule: ribosomal RNA, 465 nt
Filed under: Vreelandella stevensii
Lineage: Bacteria; Pseudomonadati; Pseudomonadota; Gammaproteobacteria; Oceanospirillales; Halomonadaceae
Description: partial 16S ribosomal RNA
Rfam family: Bacterial small subunit ribosomal RNA
Source: RNAcentral
CCUACGGGGGGCUGCAGUGGGGAAUAUUGAACAAUGGGGGGAACCCUGAUCCAGCCAUGCCGCGUGUGUGAAGAAGGCCCUCGGGUUGUAAAGCACUUUCAGUGAGGAAGAACGCCUGGUGGUUAAUACCCAUCAGGAAAGACAUCACUCACAGAAGAAGCACCGGCUAACUCCGUGCCAGCAGCCGCGGUAAUACGGAGGGUGCGAGCGUUAAUCGGAAUUACUGGGCGUAAAGCGCGCGUAGGUGGCUUGAUAAGCCGGUUGUGAAAGCCCCGGGCUCAACCUGGGAACGGCAUCCGGAACUGUCAAGCUAGAGUGCAGGAGAGGAAGGUAGAAUUCCCGGUGUAGCGGUGAAAUGCGUAGAGAUCGGGAGGAAUACCAGUGGCGAAGGCGGCCUUCUGGACUGACACUGACACUGAGGUGCGAAAGCGUGGGUAGCAAACAGGAUUAGAUACCCGUGUAGUC